CGGUCCGGACUACUUGGAUUCGCCUAGCUAACUGCGAGUGAAUGCGGGAAAAGCUCAAAUUUAAAAUCUGGCGGUCUUUGGCCGUCCGAGUUGUAAUCUAGAGAAGUAAUGCCCGUGCUGGACCGUGUAUAAGUCUCCUGGGAUGGGGCGUCAUAGAGGGUGAGAAUCCCGUCUUUGACACGGACUACCAGUGCAUUGUGGUAUGCUCUCAAAGAGUCGAGUUGUUUGGGAAUGCAGCUCAAAAUGGGUGGUAAAUUCCAUCUAAAGCUAAAUAUUGGCGAGAGACCGAUAGCGAACAAGUACCGUGAGGGAAAGAUGAAAAGAACUUUGGAAAGAGAGUUAAACAGUACGUGAAAUUGCUGAAAGGGAAACGCUUGAAGUCAGUCGCGUUGGCCGGGGAUCAGCCUUGCUUUUGCAUGGUGUACUUUCUGGUUGACGGGUCAGCAUCAAUUUUGACCGCUGGAAAAGGGCCUGGGGAAUGUGGCAGCUUCGGCUGUGUUAUAGCCCCUGGUCACAUACGGCGGUUGGGAUUGAGGAACUCAGCACGCCGCAAGGCCGGGUUUCGACCACGUUCGUGCUUAGGAUGCUGGCAUAAUGGCUUUAAGCGACCCGUCUUGAAACACGGACCAAGGAGUCUAACAUGCCUGCGAGUAUUUGGGUGAAAAACCCGAGUGCGCAAUGAAAGUGAAAGUUGAGAUCCCUGUCGUGGGGAGCAUCGACGCCCGGACCAGAACUUUUGGGACGGAUCCGCGGUGGAGCAUGUAUGUUGGGACCCGAAAGAUGGUGAACUAUGCCUGAAUAGGGUGAAGCCAGAGGAAACUCUGGUGGAGGCUCGUAGCGAUUCUGACGUGCAAAUCGAUCGUCAAAUUUGGGUAUAGGGGCGAAAGACUAAUCGAACCAUCUAGUAGCUGGUUCUGCGAGUACCCCCUCAAGGAAGAAAACCGAGACGAGAUGGGUCGAUUAGGUCGUAUCGCCCCUAUACAACUUUGAACGAAUGAUUGCAGUUCGAAUUGCCUACGAGCUUCCGAGAAUUUCUCUGGCUUCCACUAGUCAGGCUGGUUCAAUCUUCGGUCGAGUACUGGUCCACGGCGAAUGCUUCAAAGAUCUGUCCGAGCUCGAGUUUCCAGACGACUCCACUCA
Molecule: ribosomal RNA, 1140 nt
Filed under: Agaricus swaticus
Lineage: Eukaryota; Fungi; Basidiomycota; Agaricomycetes; Agaricales; Agaricaceae
Description: LSU rRNA
Rfam family: Eukaryotic large subunit ribosomal RNA
Source: RNAcentral